GUCUACGGCCAUACUACCCCUGAACACGCCCAAUCUCGUCUGAUCUCGGAAGCUAAACAGGGUCGGGCCUGGUUAGUACUUGGAUGGGAGAACAUUUGAAGGCACACAUUUUAUAAGUU
Ochotona princeps (American pika) is the source of this 119-nucleotide ribosomal RNA. The record is from Ensembl. NCBI's taxonomy places the organism in Eukaryota, Metazoa, Chordata, Mammalia, Lagomorpha, Ochotonidae.